UGAUGUGAGGAUGAUCUGGUUGCGACAUCUAUCACCCCAUUGAUCACGUGGGUUAAUUCCGCUGAUCUGGCUGGCUAGGUGGGUGUCCCCUUCUUCCCUCACCGCUCCAUGUGCAUCCCUCCCGAAGCUGCGCGCUGGAAGAGGAGGACCAUCCCUGAUAGAGGUGGAUCCGUCUUAGGUCAAUGGUUUACCAGUAGCUGCGCCUCCCUGCUAGAACUUCCAAACAACUCUAACUUUUAAUUUUAAUUUUAAUUUUUCCUUUAUUCAGAUACAGAUUAUUCUUCAGUAGUGUAUUUGGGGGUACAGUACUGAAAAACUCAUCCUUAAAUAAUUCUGCAAGCUGGGAAGGUGGCUCAGUUGUAGAGUGCUU
Dipodomys ordii (Ord's kangaroo rat) is the source of this 370-nucleotide unclassified non-coding RNA. Its record names the gene 7SK. It matches the Rfam family "7SK RNA". Rfam says of the family: 7SK was discovered as an abundant small nuclear RNA in the mid-70s but a possible function has only recently been suggested. The record is from Ensembl. NCBI's taxonomy places the organism in Eukaryota, Metazoa, Chordata, Mammalia, Rodentia, Heteromyidae.